This 467-nucleotide ribosomal RNA is filed under the name uncultured bacterium. RNAcentral describes it as "partial 16S ribosomal RNA". It matches the Rfam family "Bacterial small subunit ribosomal RNA", at positions 28 to 507 of the family's 1533-position model. The record is from RNAcentral.
GACGAACGCUGGCGGCGUGCUUAACACAUGCAAGUCGAACGGAAAGGCCCUGCUUUUGUGGGGUGCUCGAGUGGCGAACGGGUGAGUAACACGUGAGUAACCUGCCCUUGACUUUGGGAUAACUUCAGGAAACUGGGGCUAAUACCGGAUAGGAGCUCCUGCUGCAUGGUGGGGGUUGGAAAGUUUCGGCGGUUGGGGAUGGACUCGCGGCUUAUCAGCUUGUUGGUGGGGUAGUGGCUUACCAAGGCUUUGACGGGUAGCCGGCCUGAGAGGGUGACCGGCACAUUGGGACUGAGAUGAGGCCCAGACUCAUACGGGAGGCAGCAGUGGGGAAUAUUGCACAAUGGGCGGAAGCCUGAUGCAGCAACGCCGCGUGCGGGAUGACGGCCUUCGGGUUGUAAACCGCUUUCGCCUGUGACGAAGCGUGAGUGACGGUAAUGGGUAAAGAAGCACCGGCUAACUACGUG